CAGGAUGAACGCUGGCGGCGUGCCUAACACAUGCAAGUUGAGCGAUUUACUUCGGUAAAGAGCGGCGGACGGGUGAGUAACGCGUGGGUAACCUACCCUGUACACACGGAUAACAUACCGAAAGGUAUGCUAAUACGGGAUAAUAUAUUUGAGAGGCAUCUCUUAAAUAUCAAAGGUGAGCCAGUACAGGAUGGACCCGCGUCUGAUUAGCUAGUUGGUAAGGUAACGGCUUACCAAGGCGACGAUCAGUAGCCGACCUGAGAGGGUGAUCGGCCACAUUGGAACUGAGACACGGUCCAAACUCCUACGGGAGGCAGCAGUGGGGAAUAUUGCACAAUGGGCGAAAGCCUGAUGCAGCAACGCCGCGUGAGUGAUGAAGGCCUUCGGGUCGUAAAACUCUGUCCUCAAGGAAGAUAAUGACGGUACUUGAGGAGGAAGCCCCGGCUAACUACGUGCCAGCAGCCGCGGUAAUACGUAGGGGGCUAGCGUUAUCCGGAUUUACUGGGCGUAAAGGGUGCGUAGGCGGUCUUUCAAGUCAGGAGUGAAAGGCUACGGCUCAACCGUAGUAAGCUCUUGAAACUGGGAGACUUGAGUGCAGGAGAGGAGAGUGGAAUUCCUAGUGUAGCGGUGAAAUGCGUAGAUAUUAGGAGGAACACCAGUUGCGAAGGCGGCUCUCUGGACUGUAACGGACGCUGAGGCACGAAAGCGUGGGGAGCAAACAGGAUUAGAUACCCUGGUAGUCCACGCUGUAAACGAUGAGUACUAGGUGUCGGGGGUUACCCCC
Molecule: ribosomal RNA, 784 nt
Filed under: Clostridioides difficile
Lineage: Bacteria; Bacillati; Bacillota; Clostridia; Peptostreptococcales; Peptostreptococcaceae
Description: bacterial SSU rRNA
Rfam family: Bacterial small subunit ribosomal RNA
Source: RNAcentral